Long non-coding RNA from Mastomys coucha (southern multimammate mouse), 9751 nucleotides. RefSeq lists it as uncharacterized. NCBI's taxonomy places the organism in Eukaryota, Metazoa, Chordata, Mammalia, Rodentia, Muridae. The record is from RefSeq and is a predicted model, not a curated record. The transcript has 3 exons.
GGAGGAGGAGGAGGAGGGAUGCCACACAGACAUGCACAAACUUGAAGGCAGAGGGACUUGGAAGGGGCUACUGAGCAAACCCUGGUGGCAUGAUGCUGGGGAGGAGGAGAAGGGGAAGAGCCUUGACUCUGUGUUUUAGGUGCUUUAAAAAAAAGGCAUCCUGCAAAAGGGUCUGAGGGAAACGGCUGGUACUCACGGUUUCUGCGUUGCUGUGAAUCCUGAAGGUGUUCUGUUGGCACCGGGCGCUGAGCCAGGGGCAGGCGCUGGAAACAAAAGGGAGACACACACAAAAAAUUAAAGUCAUUCAAUGGGAAUAUUAAUUGCUGCUCUUGUGGAUUUUACAAAACACACAAACUGUUUUCAUUUUUUGUUCCUUUUUUUUUUUUAAUUGUGGAUUGGCGCGUGCCCCUUUCGCAUGGAAUAUACAAGUAGUAUGGGAUUUACAGUCCAGUUACGGGACUCAGGAUUAACCGCGCUGGCAUCUUUUGGGCAUAUCCUUCCUUUUAAUGAAUGAGCUUUCGCUGUUAAUGAGGAAUAAUCGUUUGGCUAAUGAGCUUUGAAACAUUAAGAGAAAAGAGGUUUUUUUUUCCCCCCCGUUAAUCGCUCUGGUGCGACUGCAUGGAUGGAUUACAAAAGACAGCACUAGAGUGCAGUACAAAGGUUGGGGGAGCUCCUCGGGAGUGGGAGAAGCACCGAGUGGGUGAUGUGCCCCUGCAUCUCUCCUUCCUUCUCUCUUUCCAUCUCUCUGCCAACUGCUAUGGGUUUCCAUAACUCCGCAAUCGAAGUGAAUGGUCGGGAAGGAUUAUUAUACUGAGUAAAGCCUCCGCUGUUAAUGUCUCCAGUGUUUAAUCAUCAUACAGUAGAAUGGUUUUAUGCAUAUUUCAUUUGCAUAUCAUUAAACCAUGUUAGUGAGGGGCACUCAAAGCCAAGAGAAGCGCAAAGUUGGGAAGCCAGGAAAGGAAAAAGAGAUCCCUAUGAUGCUUAUCUUCAAACGGGGGCUUGCUCCAUGAUGUGUCUUCUGCCUUUCUAAAAAUCAUUAUGACUUGGAAACCUUUGAAGUUGGAUACAACCUUGGAUUCCUCUAAUUCCUGCAGAGCGGUAUAUUUUUAAGAUCGGCAGCAAUGUCCCUGCACUAGACGAUUAAAGGAAUAUAAACUCCAGUGGGCUGAGACUAGUAGCUCUUUGGGGAACACAGUGUCAGAGGCUUCUACAAAUACCAACACUUAAAAAAAAAAUAAUAAAGAACGUCAUACCAAAAACAAAGAAAGAAGACAAGAGAUGUUAAUAUGUGGAUUAUAUUUGUUUCGUUUUGGGGGGCGGUUAGAGUGAAGAAGUCAUUGGUAAUUUAUCCCCUCAUUAAUGAAGCCACCUUUUUUAUUUGUGUUUGUUUUUAUCCUUUAAUUGUGAAGAUGGGUGCUGUCCCUUUUGAAAUGGUUAACCAGUUAUUGUGUAGCUCUGAUCUUUCCCCCACCCCAUACCUGACAGAAAAGAAAGGUGGUGGUAUGGGCAGAUGUGAGUACUGGGAAUAUCUGGGGGAAGUGGGAAAUACAGUGAGUUCUUUGUGGAUCUUAUACAUGCUCAACAUAUUAAUUGAGGGCUUUUAAAGUUCCCUCAAUAGGCUAUUUCAUUCUUGGUAAAACAGCAGCUGGUUAGCCACUGUUGGUGACUCUUCAAAUAUCACUUUAACGAUUUUUAUUCUGUUGCCGUCCAUUUUUGUUUUUCUGUAGCCAAGAAGGAGGAUGUAAUACUGCUUUCUUAACCAUGCCUCUUCUGUCUUCUUUACAUCCUAUUUUCGAACUGUGAAACGAUGUUGGUUUAAUAUUGAAUCCUGGUGCACAGUGUAACGGCACAACUUGAUUUGGAAAUGAGAUGCUGGCUUAUAUUUAAAUUAUCUCCACUCCUCCCUUAUCCUCCAAAGCUUUGUCUCUGCUAUGAAUAUUCAGAUGAGGCAUGAUGUGAUUACACUGUACAAUUACUCCUAUCCAUGGUGGUGGCAGGCGCUGCUGGGGAGAAAGAGCCAGACAGCCUCCAAGCCAGUGUGGAGUUUUGUUUUCGGUAUUUUUUUUUCCUAUCUCCUGGCACCACGGCACAUGCAGAUGUCGCUGUUGUUCUUUAUAAAGCUCUAAUGACAUGCAAAGGCAUAACGACUUGGUUUGGACGCAAAGCAUCAACUGAAUGCUAUGGAUGUCUUUAAGAAAGAGAAAGAGAAAAUCCUGACUGAAGGAAUGUCCACAUAAAUUAUUUUUAUUUAAAUGAAUUCAAAGGAUGGGGUGAGGGCAAGUGAGAAAGAGUCACAUGGAAAACAUGCAUAAUAUUAAUAUGCACAAAGAAUUCUUACCGAGGACAAGCUCCUCACUACUGCUCAUGGGACAAACAGGUUCAUUAGGACACAGCUCUGAGCGACUACAGCAUUUUGGUAUUUCGAUUUUUUUUCCCCUUAUUUUAAACGAAGAGUCAGACAGAUGUGCUUUCUUUGCAUGAGAGCAUUGAGAUGGAUCCAAUCUGUGAAAUUUGCUGCCCAAAUAGCAUUUCUAAUGGAAUCUGGGACUAAACAAGGGCCUGGAUGUGGAAGGGAGGGGAGAAGAGAGAACCCACGAAGAGGAGGCUACUCAGCCACUGCAAGGUUUUUCGUAGCACAGGAAGCUGUCAGAAGCCAUCUUUGCUCCACUGGUCCCAGGUGUGGGCUCCUGAUCCAGAGAGCCAUCAGGGUUCACCAAGAUGAACACUGAGCAGGCCCUUGUAGGUCUGAGGCAGAGGAAAGCAGCAGCAGCAGCUUGGUGCCUACUCCCUCCCAGCUCAGUGGCCUUCCGCUCAGAAGCCAAAAGCCCAGCUACUAUUUUGGGAUGCAAUAGAAUGCCUCCUGGUCCAGGCAUCUGUGGAAGAAGGAAUUUCUUGAUGCUCUCGCAGAGUGUGUUGCUAAAGAGCAGAAGGGAUCAUCCGCUGCUUAAGGAGGCCUGAUAAUUGCUGUGCCGGUUGGUUCUCAGGGUAAUGACUGCUGGGCUUCUCUAACAUUUCGGAGUGCUGGCGUGAUGAGUAUCCAUUUAGUGCAUGUUUACAUUAGGCAGAGGGAGACAGACAGGGACUGAGUCUGUUGGGUGGAUUCAGAGCUAGGAACAUAUUUGUACCACUUCUCAGGUUUCAAAGGAGUAGCAGAGGGUAAAGCUAUCAGUUAGAAGAUUUUGUUGAUUUUUUUUCUUGGCCAGGUGGAUAGUCCAAAGUACUUUGAUAAGUGGGUUACAUUUAGAUCUUUUGUUUAAAUUGUAUGAAGGAAGUCUAAAUUUGAUCUGCGUAUCUGCACAACUUUCUACUUAAGGCUGGCCUAGAACAGGUCCAAUUGUAAUUAUGCUAUAAAUUGUGAUUUUUUACCUACAAUCUCCAUAAUUUCCAUCACACACACACAAACACACACACCAUACACACAUACACACACACACACACAUACAUAAACACAUACACACACACAUACACACUUCAGCUGUCAUGAUAUGUAAGUGUUGUUACAAAGAAUGGAGAAUUAAAGCUCUGGGAAAUUUCUAUUUAAUCUUAAUUAUUCUAGCCUCUAACCUCUUAUUUCUCCGUUGCCAGAAUUGUGGGUAUUAGAUUUUUGAAGUAAUACAUGUAGAGAUUUUGGUGCAGAGUCUGUAAAUAGCAAGCCUUAAAUACACGUCAAAUUUUGAUAUUGCUAUUGUUGCUAUUCCGGUGUACUGCUUAGUAUUUGAGAGAGUUAAAGAAAGGAAAUAUUUACUUCUUAGCUGUACAAGGUAUAGUGAGAAAGAUUAGCUAGGUACGUAGAGUAAACAGUGCCCUGGUCUACAUGACUCUGGGCUUCAGUCUGACUCUGACUGCAGAUCAUUUAGGUUAGCUAGGUACGUAGAGUAAACAGUGCCCUGGUCUACAUGACUCUGGGCUUCAGUCUGACUCUGACUACAGAUCAUUUAGGUGUUCUUCACUUUACUUCUUUCAAAUGAAUACAACUCCGGGAUGACAGUCACGGUGGUGAUAUCUGUGAUCUGACAGAGAGUUCUAUCAUAGUUUGUGAGAAGGACACAGGACUGAGACGCGUUCAUCAUUUGAUCCUACUGAUGACCAAGUCAGUCUUAAAAAAAGAAAAAGACAUCGGGAUCUCUCACUUUGCUCAUUUCAAAUCUGCCGACCUCCCAGACACAUGGCCCAUGGAAAACUGAAAGACCCUAAUGCCCUGAAACACCCGCUGGAAUCCGGAUUCUGCACUCAGUCCUCCCAGCUGAGCACCCAGGUUCUCAUGGUCACCUACUCGAGCACCGUGAGGCACACCUGAAUCCUGCUCUUUGCUAUCUUCAUCCUUGAUUCCUUACAGAUUCAAAUCUACUCGGUACCCUCCCCCAGUCAUUCUUACUCAGCAUCCUUAAGUUCAAGUUUCUAUAAUGGGUUAAAAACUUCUACUUUUUAUUCUUCUUUUGGGUCUAACAAAUCUCCCAAAACUUACUGAAUAAGAAUUGUUGUUUUCAGAUGUCUAUUAUAAAAAUCCUACUUCUAAAGUGUUAGAAGAUGCCAAACCGUCAAUUAAUGUCAUCACUUAUUUUUCUAGAACUAGGCUUGCGAUCUCUUCUUUGAAUAACAAAAUACAUUUUCCUUUAGAACAUACAAUUAUAAUAGCAUGUUUUACUUUUUAAAAGUUAUCCACUUUAUCCCUGAGGACUAGCUUUCCUGGUACCAGAAGGCUCCAUGCUAGCUUCCAAGCAGCUAAUAGUCCUGUCCUGCUCUGUGCCUCUGAACCAAAACAAUGACUGCCAGGACACAAUUUGCAAAAGGGGCAUACACAACUUGGUGAUAACCAACAGCUGCUGAAUUGGACUUAAGGUCAUCUCAACAAGAAGAAAACCAUGCCUUGUACUGAAAACCUAGUCAACUCCCCGAGGCUAGUAAAGUCACUGAUCUGGGAGGAGAACCCUAAACCCACCACGUCAUUAAACCAUCAUAAUAACUACAUCCUAAGUAUUUAUACUUUUAUCCAUAUGUUAGUCUUAUCUCUUAUCAAAGAAGCCUUUCCUUAUAAUAGUCAGACAUGACUGCACAAAGUCACAACUACACAAAAUGCAGAGAACGAGUGAGCAUGUGCUGCCUAGUCCCAACCGAUCCAUCUACAAUACCACACCUGGUCAGGAUGCAUCAUGAAAGAUUAGGGAAAAGAUGGUCAACAGCCAAACUGCAGUAAGUUUGCUGUGAGAUUUUACUACUAGGAAUAUCAGAGAAGAUAAACCCAGGAGUCAGUCCCAUUAGCAUGGAUGCCUUAACAAACUCUGAACAAGGACAACAUUGAUAGACAUGCUACUAUGGGAGGGAGAAAUUGCAUUAGGCCUCAAGCCUAGUCAAAGGACUAUAGUUAACUAAGGGAUGAUGAGAACUGGAGAAACCACAGUGAUCCAACACUAGGUGGUUAUCUCUGAAAUCAUAUACCUACAAGUAACACUAUGGGGACUGUGAAGGUUGUGUUUGUAUAUUUAGGGAUGUAUAGGCAUAUAUAUGUGUAUCACAACAAUUAAAGGAAUAGAGAGCAUAUAUUUGACAGAGAACAAGAGGGGUAUAAGGGAAUGGUUGGAGUGAGGAAAGACAGGGGAAUGAUGUAAUUAUAUUUUAAGUUAAAAAAUAAUUAAAUAAAAAGUUCUCUAAGCUGUCUAAUCAUCAAUAUAAGCCUGUGAAAGUAACCUUAUAGAAUUAAAAUAAUAAAAUGAAAACAUGGUAAAGAAAUGCCAACAAACCAUAGAAUUUACCAGGGAUAAUUCUAUCACAUUAGGGAAUGUUCUUGAAAUAUAUUCUGAAAACUUACACUACAAUAAGCAAUAGCUGGAGCUCUGAAGUAAUAUCAAGAUCAUUUAGUCUCUUCUGUAAUUUCUUAUUAUUCACUACUUAAAUAUUGUUACAAUUAUACCAGUUUCUCAAACUGAGUAAGAAAAUAGAAAGUCUGUCAGCAAUGAAGACAGAAAAGCAUUUUUCAAAAUGAAAGCAGAGGCUUUCAAAUCAGACAGACAUUGGUAAUGGUUACCGUCCUCCAUAGAUUUAGAACCACCUAGGAGACACACUUAGGAGUGUGUCUGUAAGAGUGGUGCCCAGAGGGCUUUAACUGAGAAUCACCUCUGGAUGUGGGCAGUACUAUCCCACGGGCUCACAUCCUUGACAGCCUACAAAGAGUAACGUGAGCUGAGCACCAGCAUCCGAUUCUCUCGGCUUCCUGGCUGUGGAUGCAGGGUGACAGCUGCCUCAUGCUCCUGCUGCUCCAUCAUGUUCCAUGUGCACCAUCACGUCCUGUACUCUGAAGCCGUGAUCCAAAACAAACUCGUCCUUUCUUGAGCUGCCUUUAUCAGACAUGUGGUUACAGUGUCGAGAAAAGCAACUGACAUUACAGGCACACCUACUUCAGAAACAAAAAUACACCACAUCGCGCAGGACUGAGCGGCUACAUGCUGAACUCUAGAGGACACCAGCAGUCAGGUUCCGGUGGAGUGAGAAAGAUUACAUGUAUUUCACAGGCAUGGAGACGUGGGGGUAACACUGUAGUUUGAUGUUGGGACCUGGUGUAGUCUCCUUUCUUGAAGGAUGUGGCCAAGGAUGAAUGCCAAGGCCUUGAUAUUACUCUAUACUGAACACCCAAAUGCUAGCCCAAGACCUGCAGUCUUAGGGAAGGAAACCAGACACAGGCCACUGAAAGACUAUCAUAUCGAGAAAUGAACCACAUUCCAAAGAUCACACGAAUGGGAUACUAACAAAAGGUAUUCAAAACAAUCAACAAACCAACUGUCAGAAAACUGAUACGUUCCACACAAAAUUAGUUUUAUUGAAACCAUCUGGCAAUGACAUUAGGGAAGUACAUUUAAGAUUUCUGAAGUCAGAGAUGAUGAAAUAAUUUCUGGUACAAAGCAAUAAGAAAUCAUAAAGAAGCAGAAGUAGAGUAAGAACAAGCAGAUGUAAGAGAAAUUAAAACUCAGAGCCACUGAAGUUAGAGACUCAAUAGCAUGGGCAAGCUUCGUUUUGGGUCUUGUAUACAAAGCCCCGAGGAAUAGAUUUUAAAAGCUAUUAAAUUUGUGAAAUGAGUUCAUCAAGAUUUCAGACUAAGAUACCAACAUCUAAAGUCACCUACUUCUCUAUAUCCUACCAAUAUAUCAAUAUAAUUUAAAAGUAAAUUAAGUGAAUAAUUCCAUUUGUGAUAGCAUUAAUAAAAAACCACCUGUGAAUAAAUUUAACAACAGAGGUGCAGGUUUACAACUAAAAAUUAAGAGAACAUGGUUAGACAGAGGAAAUUCAAAUUUUAAACUCCUCAGUAAAUGGAAAGAGAUUUUAAAAUACACCCUUAUAUGUCUCAGCUGAUUUUUCAACAAGGCUGAAGAGGUUAAAAAAAAAAAAAAAAAAAAAGGAAGUUUGACAAAAGACACAUCCACAUGCAAAACAACGAAGCAGUUUUACCUCCCAAUGUAUGUGUGAUUCCAUAGCAACAGAGGAAAGAUUCAAAUGUAAAGGCUAAAAGCACCAAAGAGAAAACCAGAGGGUGGAUGUUCUCGGCUUCGCCUCGGGGAUGACUUCUUGGGCAUGCUGAGCUAUUACAGAAAGGAUGGAUGUCCUAGGCAUCAUCAUUUCUUAAACUGAGACAGAGUCUCAUUAUGUACCUAAAGACAUACUUCACUUGGCAUUCUCUUGGCUUGGCCUCUCCAUGCUGGAAUUAGAUAUAAAGAAGUAUUGCCAGGCUAGGCUAAAACAAAACCAAAACUGAAACAAACAAACUUUUGUUCUUUGGAGAGUAUCAAGAAGAUAAAAUGAUAACCGACAGAGAAACUGUCUGCAGGUUAUAUAUCUGGUAAGAAACUCGUAUUCAUGGUGGGCAAAGGACGCAUGCAGCUCAAUAAGAAAAAGAAGACUAAAAUUGAAUCUUUAAACUGUUAAAGGAUAUAGAUGGAUUUUUUUUUCUGAAGAAAAUACAGAAAUAAGCCGGGCAUGGUAGCGUAUACCUUUGAUUCUAGUACUUGGGAGAGGCAGGUGGAUCCCUGUGAGUCCAAGGCCAGCCUGGUCAACAUAACAUGAUCCAGGUCAGUCAGGAAUACCUACAUAGUGAGACCCUAUUUCAUCAUCUAUCUCCAAAAAAGUAAUAAAAAAAAUUUUUAAAAAGGAAAGGAAAAAAAGAAAUGAUAAAAACACGUGAAAAGAUACUCAACAGUCAUUAAAAUGGUGUUCAGACCUCGGUGAUGCUAAUUUGUAUCUACUUGGUAUAUAACAAAACAAGCUGGAAGGAAGAGACACCUUACAGAAUAGGGCGAAAUCUUUGCUAAGUAAAAAUAAAGGCAAAGCAUUUCAAGAGAUAGGAUAAAGAAGAACUUCAUGAAAAGGGCUCACAGAGCAAAGAAAUAACCAUCUGCUAUCCAAUGUGGCAAAUACAGUCUAGGAAAUUACAAAUCUUCUGCACAGGAAAGGAACAGAGCAAAGAGGCAAAAUUCCUAGCAAAUGAUGUGGAAGACAGCAGACUACAACCUACAUUCUUUCAAACCUCAAAAAGCGAAAUACAAAACCAAAUAAAUCAUACAACCAAUAAACAAACUAAUCUGUGAAAAAGACAGUGCUUAAGGGAAGUCAUGUAUCCAGUUUUUUCCUUUCUUUCUCAGAUGACUCUGCAUUCUGUCUCCAUGCAUUUGCCCAUUCUGAACCUUGUAUAUACGUUAUCAAGUUUAAGCUUUCAUAACUGCCUGAUUCCACUUACCAUGAUGCUUUGGAGUUUCGUGUAUAUUCUGUCUCCUACCGGUACUUAAUCCCUUUCUCUACUCUCUUGAUGAGUGAAAUCACUACAUUUUGUUUAUUCAAUCAUCAUUUGAUGGAUGUUCUGACUAUUGUGAAUAAUAUUAUCUUUGUAGAUGUUUGUAUUUUCCUUGAAUAUAUCCCAGUGGGUCCCAUGUUUUUGCUUGGGGAUGUGUGAUGAAAUUAAACUGUUGUAAGGUCAUAUUUAGGUAACAGCUGUAAAACUCUAUAAAUAUGCUAAACCCUACCUGAAUAUCAUUACAAGUGAUAUAUAUUUAUGGCAUAUAAAUUAUACCUCCAUAAAGUUUACAAUGGCAAGGGAUUGGUAUGUAAACAGCCACCGAUGCUUCAAAGAUCAAUUGGGCAGCAUUUAGCAUAGCUGAUGCAUGCACAGUCUGGGCAGUUCCACUCACAGGUAUUUAGGCAGACAAAAACUCACACAUGUACACAAAGAGACGGGCGCAAGAAUGCUCACUGUGCUAUUACUUUUAAUAGUUGAGGAAUUGAAACAAUCUGUCUAUGAAGAAAUGAGUGUGUAAGCAAGUUAGGGCAUCAUUUUAUAAAUGAAAUGCCAUGGGAUACAUCAAUAGAAAGAGUGUAGAGCGCCAAGAAACAGCUCAAAAGUGGAGUGCUUGCUUAGCAUAGAUAGGUUUCAUCCCAAGUACUAAAACAAAACAAAACAAAGAAAAAAACAAAACCAAAAAUCCUCCCACAUAAACUAUAGGACCACAUCCAUGGAAUUAUAUGAUUUAUCACUCAAAAUAAUGUAAAAACUUCUGGGGAAUCAAAAUCAAGGUGUUACAAUAAGAAUAUGAUGACAUGAAUGUUAUGUAUAUCACUAUUAUUGUUUAAGAUACGCAGUAGUCCUGUCAAACUGGUAAUUUGUUAACCCAUGCAAUGGCACAUGUGUACUGUUUGUAUUAGUCUCUGCUUUCUUUGAGAUGUUCAAAAUAUAUUUUAAUACAAAAACGGAGCAGCAAAGUCUCCUGAAAAGGCA